Molecule: long non-coding RNA, 997 nt
Organism: Penaeus indicus
Lineage: Eukaryota; Metazoa; Arthropoda; Malacostraca; Decapoda; Penaeidae
Exons: 3
Source: RefSeq, a predicted model, not a curated record
AUUUUUGACAGAGAAUGCUGGAGGAUUCCAUCACCCCCACCAGAAGGAAACGUAGGAAGCCAAUUAUCCGACGUCUGACUGAGCAAGAGGCUCAUGCUCUUAUUGCUGCUCCUGAGACAAUGCCAGAUGAUGUCUGGGAAGACCUGCCAAUUAUUCGUCGAGCUUCGUCUGUGGAUGAGAGCCUCUUCCGUUCUGUGAUGAUUGAUGGACCUUUAUCUACCACACUUGAAUAAAGAACAUGGUAACGGGAACCCUUAUAUGUGAUGGUGCUUAUGUUUUGAGAUGUACCUUUUUUAUUUUUUUAUUUUUUUAUUUUUAGCAAGGUUUUUUCUUCUUCUAAAAUGUGAAGUAUCAUUAUUUCAUUUUUUAAAGGAUAGCUUGUAUUACUUAGCUGAAAAUAUUAUUUUCAGUAAGUUGGCAAAUGUAACUGCAUGAGUGCAAACUUGUUUUUUGUUCAAGGUCUUCUCGAAAAUAUUAUUGAUUAUAAACUUGUUUAUUUACCUCUAGAGAUUUUAUGUAUUAUUGAUUUGAAAGGUCUACACUAUCUAAAUUUACUAGGAUCACAAUAUCUUUUAUACAGAACUUUAUUUAUGUUUUAUGGAUAAAUAAUCAAAACUUGGUCAGGCUUUCAAAGUAAAAUGUACCCAAGUUCAAAGUAAGGAAAUGAACUGUAAUUAAUUUAUUUUCUUAUUGAAAGAGUUCAUAAUUCAGAUUAUAUAUUUUAACCUUCCGUAUUUCUUUUUCACUGAAAAUGGAUAUUGCUUUCCUAUAAAUAAAGAUAUUUAUUUUAACCACAAAGUUUGUGAUAUUUUUUGCAUUGAGGGAAUUACUCAGCUUUUGUGUUUAUAUUUUCCCAAUGGUAUAUGGAAUUCAAAGAAUUAUGGUUUUUCUUUUCCAAGUAAAUUAUUUUGCUGAAGUACCAGCAUUUCAUUUCACUGAUCAGUAUGAAAUAUUCCUCUUCCUGCUCUGUUAAUUACCAGUGAGUGCCAGUGUUGAA